UUAACUUAUUACAAUAGGUACUCAGAGAUUCACGUUUGUAAAAACAAGAGUUUGUAGGGCCUCCGGCAGGCACCCAACGACCCCGCCCUGGGGUCGCCUGCCGAAGCAACGUUUUUGGUAGGUAGACAGUGGGUUUUGAGCGUGUUUAACUCUGUAAUGAUCCCUCCGCUGGUUCACCAACGGAGA
RNAcentral lists this unclassified non-coding RNA (186 nucleotides) under uncultured fungus. RNAcentral's name for it is "sequence contains ITS1". Lineage: Eukaryota; Fungi. The record is from RNAcentral.